UUUUUUUCACACAGUUGCUGAAUUAUUUGGAUACAUUCAUUAAGUUGUUUGAACUUGCAGCCACAAUGAAAAAAUACAGAAAUAUCGGAUUGCUGUGAAAUGUCAGAGACCCCAAGAAUCAGAGCACCAUCCUUCUGGCAGUGGCUCCUUAUCUACGCGAGACACCUUUGUAGACCUAUUAUCAUAGCUGACCAUAUUUGAUUACAAAAAGAAGAAAGAAGAAGAAGAAAGAGGAGGAGGAGAAGGAGGAGGAGGAGGAGUGAAAUCAUGGAGAAUCAGUGUCCAACCACAUCCAAGAGAGAUGAGAAACAUUUAUGAGCGGGAGUCACUGGUAUUGUUGGAAUACAAGCAGACCUUCAGAGGAUAGCCAGAAGCCAGGAGUAAUCAGGAUAAGUUUGUUAAGUAUGUCUGAACGAAAAAUACAAAAGAGGAUUAGCAGGACAAGCGCAGGAAAUGAAGAAGGAAAGAAGAGAACCAAGAUUUCUGAAGAGGAAUACACUUAAGCACAUUUACAAUAAGAGCAGAAUGGCUGAGACUGUUGCUAUCUGAUCCUGUUCUCACAUUGUUCACUGUCCCUACAAAUGAAAAAUACUAGAUUUAAAGAUUAUAAAUAUCUGCCUUUGCCACUUCGUUGCUACCAUUCAUCUUACUUGAGAGCCUUGGAGUUUUAAUGGCUCUGUUUAGUGGGUGAACAAA
This is a long non-coding RNA of Chinchilla lanigera (long-tailed chinchilla), 696 nucleotides long. RefSeq lists it as uncharacterized. Lineage: Eukaryota; Metazoa; Chordata; Mammalia; Rodentia; Chinchillidae. The transcript is spliced from 4 exons. The record is from RefSeq and is a predicted model, not a curated record.